ACACCUGCUAACCAAGGAAUUUUCUAUAUUCAGCAUGAAGUUGGCAGUAUAUUUAGGAAGUUUCUAGAAUCAGAAGGCUUUGAAGAAAUCCAUACUCCAAAAUUGAUAGCAGGAACUAGUGAAGGUGGUUCUGCUGUAUUUAAGCUGGACUACAAGGGGCAAUCUGCAUGCUUGGCACAGUCUCCUCAGCUUCACAAGCAAAUGGCUAUUUGUGGUGACAAAGAGCGUGUUUUUGAGGUUGGGCCUGUUUUCAGAGCAGAGGAUUCUUACACUCAUAGGCAUCUGUGUGAAUUUGUUGGUCUUGAUGUUGAAAUGGAGAUUAAAAAACACUAUUCUGAGGUCAUGGAUAUUGUUGAUCGAUUAUUUGUCACAGUUUUUAACCAUUUGAAUGAGAAGUGCAAAAAGGAACUUGAUGCUGUUCGGCGGCAAUAUCCCUUUGAACCUUUGAAGUACCUGCGAAAAACUCUACGGCUCAGAUUUGAAGAAGGGGUUCAAAUGCUCAAGGAUGCAGGAGUGGAAAUUGAUCCUUAUGGGGACUUGAAUACAGAGUCAGAGAGAAAAUUAGGCCAGCUAGUUUUGGAGAAGUAAUUCAACAUUUUGUGAUUUUCCAUAGUGCCUAAUUGACCUGCAUAUUGUUCUCUGUUUUAGUCCGUGCUAAUGAGUGGACAAAUAUUUGCUUCUGAUCACAGGUAUGGUACUGAGUUCUACAUUCUUCAUCGCUAUCCUUUGGCUGUUAGGCCAUUCUACACUAUGCCAUGUUAUGAUGAUACAAAGUACAGUAAUUCGUUUGAUGUCUUUAUUCGAGGUGAGGAAAUAAUUUCAGGAGCUCAACGUGUUCAUGUACCAGAGUUGCUGGAAGAACGUGCAAAGGCGUGUGGCAUUGAUGUCAAUACAAUAACAACGUACAUUGAUUCUUUCAGGUAUGGUGCGCCUCCACACGGUGGGUUUGGGGUGGGAUUAGAGCGUGUGGUAAUGUUAUUCUGUGGUCUGAAUAACAUUCGCAAGACAUCACUUUUCCCUCGUGACCCACUAAGGCUUGCCCCUUGAUGUGUUUCGGCUGAGCCUCACGCUUUGUUUUGCUAAGAUUAUAAUUUUUUUCCUCUUAGGAAGUUUAGCUUACAUAAGUGGAAAAACCAUUUAUAUAAGAGCCUGUCUUGAGAUGAUCUCUUCUCAAUACAAAGCGAUGUGAAGGUCUAUUUCAAGUCAAGUUACAAAUGGGUGGGUAUAUUAAAUCCUCUGUAUGCACUUUUAUUGAGGUUAUUAUUUCUUGGUUUUCUUUUACUUUACUGUAAUUGAAAUCAGCCCUACUGAAAUGAUCGUCAGUUUGUUUCCAGCUAAGAGCACCAAGCGAUACCUGCUGCAUGUAUUUAUCAAGUUUCAGGAAUAAUAACAUUUAAUAUUAAUGGAUCUUUUCUUUUGCAGAAUGUCGAUGAAUAAAUUAGAUGCUGAAAUGUAUAUAUGUAUGUGGAAUUGCAGAGUCCAUAUUCUGAAAAAGGCCACAAAUUAUUGGCAUUUUGAGCGGCGUGUACGGUUAUUGGGUAGCUGAAUUGAAUCCAAGACCUGUGCUUUACUAAACCAAUUAAAAUUGUAUUAAACUGUAGUUAUUUUACUCAUUUGAUUUUAUUUUAAAUUCAAAGGAUUAUUUAUUAUUUAAUUUUACUAAUGUAAUAUUACAUAUAUUAUUGUUAUUUUUAUUUUUAUAAUCAUUCUAUAAAAUUU
This 1719-nucleotide unclassified non-coding RNA is filed under the name Hevea brasiliensis (rubber tree). Lineage: Eukaryota; Viridiplantae; Streptophyta; Magnoliopsida; Malpighiales; Euphorbiaceae. The record is from RNAcentral.